This is an unclassified non-coding RNA of Macaca fascicularis (crab-eating macaque), 148 nucleotides long. It matches the Rfam family "Metazoan signal recognition particle RNA". Rfam says of the family: The signal recognition particle (SRP) is a universally conserved ribonucleoprotein. It is involved in the co-translational targeting of proteins to membranes. NCBI's taxonomy places the organism in Eukaryota, Metazoa, Chordata, Mammalia, Primates, Cercopithecidae. The record is from Ensembl.
GCCGGGCAUAGUAGUGUGUGCCUGUAGUCCCAGCUACUUGGGAGGCUGAGGUGAGAGGAUUGCUUGAGCCCAGGAGGUCAAGGCUGCAGUGAGCGAUGGUCAUGUCACUGUGUUCCAGCCUGGGUUUUAGAGCAAGACCCUAUCUUUA